This 478-nucleotide ribosomal RNA is filed under the name uncultured bacterium. RNAcentral's name for it is "partial 16S ribosomal RNA". It matches the Rfam family "Bacterial small subunit ribosomal RNA", at positions 28 to 523 of the family's 1533-position model. The record is from RNAcentral.
GACGAACGCUGGCGGCGUGCUUAACACAUGCAAGUCGAACGGUAAGGCCCUUCGGGGUACACGAGUGGCGAACGGGUGAGUAACACGUGGGUGAUCUGCCCUGCACUUCGGGAUAAGCCUGGGAAACUGGGUCUAAUACCGGAUAGGACCCUGGGAUGCAUGUCCUGGGGUGGAAAGCUUUUGCGGGUUGGGAUGGGCCUGCGGCCUAGCGGGUUGUUGGGGGGGUGAUGGCCUACCAAGGCGACGACGGGUAGCCGGCCUGAGAGGGUGACCGGCCACACUGGGACUGAGAUACGGCCCAGACUCCUACGGGAGGCAGCAGUGGGGAAUAUUGCACAAUGGGCGCAAGCCUGAUGCAGCGACGCCGCGUGAGGGAUGACGGCCUUCGGGUUGUAAACCUCUUUCAGCACCGACGAAGCGCAAGUGACGGUAGGUGCAGAAGAAGGACCGGCCAACUACGUGCCAGCAGCCGCCGUAA